GUUGAGGCGGUUGCUGAAGUGACUUGAUGAGAAGUAGGUUUUAGACGAACUGCAUGAACAUCAAUGUCACUAUUACCACCAGACUGGACA
Molecule: non-coding RNA, 90 nt
Filed under: Schistosoma japonicum
Lineage: Eukaryota; Metazoa; Platyhelminthes; Trematoda; Strigeidida; Schistosomatidae
Source: RNAcentral